CCCUUAGAUGUUCUGGGCCGCACGCGCGCUACACUGAUGAACGCAACGAGACCACCUGUACCGAAAGGCAUGGGUAAACUUGUGAAAGUUCAUCGUGAUGGGGAUAGAUUAUUGCAAUUAUCAAUCUUCAACGAGGAAUUCCUAGUAAGCGCGAGUCAUCAGCUCGCGUUGAUUACGUCCCUGCCCUUUGUACACACCGCCCGUCGCUCCUACCGAUUGAAUGGUCCGGUGAAAUCUUCGGAUUGCUGGAUAGGACUUCAUUGACCUAUCUGCGAGAAGUUGCUUGAACCUUAUCAUUUAGAGGAAGGAGAAGUCGUAACA
RNAcentral lists this ribosomal RNA (321 nucleotides) under uncultured eukaryote. RNAcentral's name for it is "partial 18S ribosomal RNA". It matches the Rfam family "Eukaryotic small subunit ribosomal RNA", at positions 1470 to 1796 of the family's 1831-position model. The record is from RNAcentral.